Molecule: ribosomal RNA, 492 nt
Filed under: uncultured bacterium
Lineage: Bacteria
Description: partial 16S ribosomal RNA
Rfam family: Bacterial small subunit ribosomal RNA
Source: RNAcentral
AGUGAACGCUGGCGGUAGGCCUAACACAUGCGAGUCGAACGGCAGCACAGUAAGAGCUUGCUCUUACGGGUGGCGAGUGGCGGACGGGUGAGGAAUACAUCGGAAUCUACUUUUUCGUGGGGGAUAACGUAGGGAAACUUACGCUAAUACCGCAUACGACCUACGGGUGAAAGCAGGGGAUCUUCGGACCUUGCGCGAUUGAAUGAGCCGAUGUCGGAUUAACUAGUUGGCGGGGUAAAGGCCCACCAAGGCGACGAUCCGUAGCUGGUCUGAGAGGAUGAUCAGCCACACUGGAACUGAGACACGGUCCAGACUCCUACGGGAGGCCGCAGUGGGGAAUAUUGGACAAUGGGCGCAAGCCUGAUCCAGCCAUACCGCGUGGGUGAAGAAGGCCUUCGGGUUGUAAAGCCCUUUUGUUGGGAAAGAAAAGCAGCAGGUUAAUACCCCGCUGUUCUGACGGUACCCAAAGAAUAAGCACCGGCUAACUUCGUG